GAUUAAAAUUGUUGGACAAAUUUUGUUUUGAAAGCAAAUCAAAGGGGUUCAAUUCCCCUUUUAAUCU
This 67-nucleotide transfer RNA is filed under the name Vietnamella dabieshanensis. RNAcentral's name for it is "tRNA-Ser". It matches the Rfam family "tRNA". Rfam says of the family: Transfer RNA (tRNA) molecules are approximately 80 nucleotides in length. Their secondary structure includes four short double-helical elements and three loops (D, anti-codon, and T loops). RNAcentral also lists the same sequence under 1 other name. The record is from RNAcentral. Lineage: Eukaryota; Metazoa; Arthropoda; Insecta; Ephemeroptera; Ephemerellidae.